GCCAGGCGUUUUGCCACACACCUGUAGUCCCAGCUACUCAGGAGGCUGAGGCGGGAGGAUCACUUGAGCCCAGGAGGUCCAGGCUGCAGUGAGCUAUGAUCACACCACUGCACUCCAGCCUGAGUGACAGAGUGAGACCUUGUCUCUU
Molecule: non-coding RNA, 148 nt
Filed under: Nomascus leucogenys (northern white-cheeked gibbon)
Lineage: Eukaryota; Metazoa; Chordata; Mammalia; Primates; Hylobatidae
Source: Rfam by way of RNAcentral